AACGAACGCUGGCGGCAUGCCUAACACAUGCGAGUCGAACGAGACCUUCGGGUCUAGUGGCGCACGGGUGCGUAACGCGUGGGAACCUGCCCCUAGGUGCGGAAUAACUCGCCGAAAGGGGUGCUAAUACCGGAUAAUAUCUUCGGACAAAAGAUUUAUCGCCUUUGGAUGGGCCCGGGUGGGAUUAGCUAGUUGGUAGGGGAAAAGCCUACCAAGGCGACGAUCGUUAGCUGGGCUGAGAGGAUGAGCAGCGACACUGGGACUGAGACACGGCCCAGACUCCUACGGGAGGCAGCAGUGGGGAAUACAGGACUAUGGGCGGAAGCCUGAUCCAGCAAUGCCGCGUGAGUGAUGAAGGCCUGAGGGUUGUAAAGCUCGUUUACCCGGGAUGAUAAUGACAGUACCGGAAGAAUAAGCACCGGCUAACUCCGUG
Molecule: ribosomal RNA, 433 nt
Filed under: uncultured bacterium
Lineage: Bacteria
Description: partial 16S ribosomal RNA
Rfam family: Bacterial small subunit ribosomal RNA
Source: RNAcentral